UACAUAUCACCUCACACUUCUUUUUAUCUAUAUGAAUCCACUCAUAUUCUUAUCAUCAUUAAAGUCACUCAUUGACGUCAUCUCCUCAACAUCAUGCCUUGGCCUACACACAUGGAUGUUGUGCAUCUCUUUGUUUGUUCACUUAUGUUUGGCAAGGAUGGAGCCGGCCAUUGUCUAUGCAUGGCAAUUUCGGCCAGCCAUUCCUCUCUAUUUUUCUUCCUCUACAAGACUUGCCUCCCAACUACCCCAAUCAAUAAAUGAGCAGCCUCCCAACCCACCCAAUCAAUGAGGAGGCAGCCACCAUCCUCCCUCUUUAUAAGGAGCUUGGCCGGCCACACCUCCUCUCCUUUGCCUCAUUUCUUUUCACUCCCUACUAUUUCCUCCACUCCCUCACACUCUCCUCCUCCACUUCCCCAUGAAAAUGGUGCUCCCCUUGCUCCCAUGGCCGGCCAUGGCCAUGGCAAGCCACCAAGAUGAAGCUCUCCCUCUCCCUCAAGCUCCUCCUCACCAUGAGAGCCUCCCUCUCCUUCUUCUCCCCAACCCUAGAUGGUUUUCUCUCCUCUUCUUCUUCCUCCCUUGCUAAGAUUGGAUCUUGAUGCAGGUGCAUGUUGGUCCAAGCAUGGAGAAGCUUGAGCUAUCCUCAGAUCUGAAGUUCUUGAGCAAAAUCCAAAUCGAGUGAUUCAAAGUUCCGCAGAUAGGUAUUGAAAAGAUCUACAACUUGGCGUUGGUCUCAUCCUCAAAUUUGUUACGGAUUUUGCACGAUCAAUAUCUGGUCAGAUCUGACUUUGUCGAAUUAAACCAGGAGCUUGGAAACUAAUUUUUGAAUGAAACCAACUGGGAUGUUAUCUACCAGGGGAUAUUUGGUUUAUACCAUGGUGAUACCCGAGAAAGGCAAUUGCUAAGUUGUGAUACUCUCAUACCUUUACUAGAUGCGAACGAUUCCGGAGAAGAAGAAGAAGUGGUUCGGACAAGGAUUUUAUUUAUAUUGACGAGAUUCUUAUAUUGAUGAAGUUGAAGAAGUCCAGGGACAAAUAAGCCAA
Molecule: non-coding RNA, 1040 nt
Organism: Lolium perenne
Lineage: Eukaryota; Viridiplantae; Streptophyta; Magnoliopsida; Poales; Poaceae
Source: RefSeq, a predicted model, not a curated record